This 1012-nucleotide unclassified non-coding RNA is filed under the name Hevea brasiliensis (rubber tree). Lineage: Eukaryota; Viridiplantae; Streptophyta; Magnoliopsida; Malpighiales; Euphorbiaceae. The record is from RNAcentral.
AGGAAGCAAGGUUUCAACUGAUAUGGCAGUUCAUGGUAACUUAAAGCUAAAACCUCAGAUACUCCGAAGAGUUGUUCAUGGCCUUUGCCUCUCCUCAAGUGUGAAACAAUAUUUCGGCGAACUGUGUCCCACUCAUAGAUAGUUGUCUUAGUUGCCAGAAGUCCUCCAAGCACAAUGAUGGCCAAUGGUAGUCCUGUACAUUUCCCAAUCAUUUCUCUCCCCAGUUCCUCCAUUUGUGCUCUAAUUCUGAAGUCUGGAUAAUUUCUGGCAAGGAAUGCCUUCCUUUUAAACAAUUCCCAGCUCUCUUCAUCAUUUAAGUAUCUUGGUUGAUGGAGAAAGCAUGUUGGAUCUGGAUACAAUGCAACAUCCCUGAUACGAGUUGUGAGCAAUAAUUUGCUGCCAAACAUUCCAGUUCUAUAUGGAAAAGCAGGACGCAGAUUAUUCCAAGUCUCAACAGUCCAAAUAUCAUCCAAGAUCACUAAACAUUUCUUCUCUUGUUGAACUUGAUAAAGCAUCUUAACCAGUUCAUCGUCCCUUAGACUUGAAAUUUCCUCCCUCUGCUCUUUAGAUGGAUUGAUUAGCUUAAACAAGAUUCCUUCCCAGACAUCCCUGGGUUGACAUUGCUGGGAUAUAUAAGCCCAAGCAAAAGCUUCAAAAUGAUGCCUAACAUCAGGAUUAUGAUACAUCUUCUUAGCAAGGGUAGUCUUUCCAAGGCCUCCCAUUCCAUAAAUGGAAACAACAGUUUUUUCACUGCUCACCAAUUGUUCCACCAAAAUUUUCACAUCUUCCUCCAACCCAACUAUAUCAUCUUCCACAAUAUGGGAAUAAGACCUUCUCAAAUGUUGCCGCCUUCCUCCCUGUAGAGAAGGACCAGAGCUUUCUCUAGGUUGUAUCCCAUAAGUUUGCAAGCUUGUUGUAAGAUUAGAAAUCCUGGAUUUAAUAGUUUGGAUCUCAGAACCAACCCUGUAAAGCUCUACAGAUUCCUUAGCAAUUGUAGCAUACCUCUUGAUGA